AAAAUGACUAUGAAUGGUUGAUAACUCCUCCUGAUACCCCGCUCUUUCCAUCUUGGAUGACGAGACACCGCCAGCCAAUGUUAAACCUAGAGGACGUCCCCGGAGUCAACCCAUUUCCAUAUCAAGGUCAUCCACGAUGGAGAAGAGUUAUCGGAGCAGCAGAGGUAGCGCAAAG
Molecule: long non-coding RNA, 175 nt
Organism: Eucalyptus grandis
Lineage: Eukaryota; Viridiplantae; Streptophyta; Magnoliopsida; Myrtales; Myrtaceae
Exons: 3
Source: RefSeq, a predicted model, not a curated record